AGUGACUGAGGGUGAGGCUGGGGGAACCACGGCACCCCAUCGUCACACUCCGAUGCUGCGUGGGUCAGCGUCCACAACACCAGCACUGAGCCAGGCCGCAAACAUUUACUGAGCAUCUAUUAAAAGUGCCGGGCACCCAAAAGAUAGUGGUCCCUAUCCUGAGGCUAACUGGCAGAAGGAAACGGAUAACAACCCAGAAGUUAAGAGCAAACCGCAGAAUCAGUUCCGUGAUGAAGGAGGUGGCGCUCCAGCAGAGAUUUGAGUGGUGCGAAGAAAUUCAAAGGUCGAGGCAACAGCUAGUGCAAAGGCUCCGAGGCUCAAAUCAGAAUGGCGGCUCAAAUCAGAAUGGCGGAACAAACAGCAAGAUUUACUGAGCACCUACCACGUGGCUUUACACUGUUUUGCUGAGGUUACUAUGGUGAACAAGACAGACCAAGCCCUAAUCUUCCGAGAGCUAACAUUCCAGGCUGGGAGAGGAUAGACAAGAAACAAAUGAGUAAGCAAGAUAAUUCAGAUAACGUUUGAUAAGCAAAUAAGAACAAGCAGUAUAGGGGAUCCCUGGGUGGCGCAGCGGUUUGGCGCCUGCCUUUGGCCCAGG
This is a long non-coding RNA of Nyctereutes procyonoides (raccoon dog), 598 nucleotides long. RefSeq lists it as uncharacterized. NCBI's taxonomy places the organism in Eukaryota, Metazoa, Chordata, Mammalia, Carnivora, Canidae. The record is from RefSeq and is a predicted model, not a curated record. The transcript has 3 exons.